RNAcentral lists this unclassified non-coding RNA (36 nucleotides) under Sorangium cellulosum So ce56. RNAcentral's name for it is "sce_s2m_44". Lineage: Bacteria; Pseudomonadati; Myxococcota; Polyangiales; Polyangiaceae. The record is from RNAcentral.
GCGCGCCGCGCCGCCGGGGGCUGUCUGGCCUCCUCG